AGAUGAGUAAAGCCACUCCAUAAACA
Molecule: transfer RNA, 26 nt
Filed under: Dicotyles tajacu (collared peccary)
Lineage: Eukaryota; Metazoa; Chordata; Mammalia; Artiodactyla; Tayassuidae
Description: Pecari tajacu (collared peccary) partial tRNA-Phe
Source: RNAcentral